ACCCCAAGAAAACAAGCAAAAUCAUUGCAGUCUGUGCUGUUCUGCACAACAUUUGCAAAGAUAGAAAUAUGCUGUUGCCAGAAGAUCUUCCUCCUCUCCCUGAGGAUUAUCAUGGUGAGGUCAAUGAGGAGGCCCUGGAGCGACCUCAAGAUGGUAUUCGCUACAGGGAUGACUUUGCUGCACUUCACUUUGGGGCACGACACUAAGGUCCCACCAGUCAGGCAAGUGCUGUGGUAGCUGUCGCAAGGUGGCCAACAGAGAUCUACUCCGUCCCAUGGGAAAAUGCUGCCCCUGUGAGGGGCACAGCAUUCCAGAGAUGGAUCUACAGCUUUUCCUGCAAACACCUGAGUGUGUGGUACUUUUUUCGAUUCAGAUACUCUUCUUCAUACUCCUUUUGUGCCACAUCUCUAAUGCGAAGUGCCAUCUGUGGCCCCAACAAUGCCUGGUAUGCCUGCUGCUGCCAUGGGUAAUUAGAGUAAUCACACAACUAAUGGUAGGCUGCAAGGGUUCAAGGUCAUCACUGCCACAUUGCUGCAUCUUGUCCGUGGCCAAAUACCUCAAUGUUUUCACCACCUUCAUCUCAGUUCUGAUGGACUUGCUCCUCAUUGUAGGACUUUCCAAGGUCCUCCUCACCAAGUCUGUCAUCAUCAAUGUGGGAGCAGGGGCGUACCUUCUGUGUAUCCAUGGCAGGGGCGGAAGCUGGGAGUUCAACAACCACCAAGCUGCUCUAGCAUAGUCGUGCCAACAUGGAGCUUUGUUCAACCACAUCCGCAUACAAACUAAGUAUAGUGUACUAUAUGGCCAGUUUUCAUGCUUAUUGUUUUAUUUAUAUUGUUUGCUUUACUUUCUUGCUAUUCCUGUAUUGGUCAUGUGAUUUUUAAACCUCAGUUGUUAAAUGCCCAUUUGAAUUAUUGCCUUUUUAGUAGCUAUCAGUAGUUAAUAAAUCUAAAGACUAUAAAUUAUAAAAAUAGGUAAAUUAAAGUAAUUAAAAAGAAUUAUAAUCCUUUAAUGAACACUUUACGAACAUCUCUGAGAUUCACACUUCAUGAAGAGAGGGUUGUACUGGCACACAAGCAAAGAUACCAAUAUCCAUCAUGUUACAUGUUAUUAUAAACCAUUUCAGCAUGCAUAAUUGACAGCUUUCAUUCAUGCCUGGCAAAAUUCUAGGUGCACACAAGCAAAGAUACGAAUAUCCAUCAUGUUACCUAUUAUUAUAAACCAUUUCAGCAUGCAUAACUGACCCCUUUAAUUAAUGCCUGGCAAAAUUCUAGGUGCACACAAGCAAAGAUACCAAUAUCCAUCAUGUUACCUGUUGUUAUAAACCAUUUCAGCAUGCAUAACUGACCCCUUUAAUUAAUGCCUGGCAAAAUUCUAGGUGCACACAAGCAAAGUGAAUAUCCAUCAUGUUACCUAUUAUUAUAAACCAUUUCAGCAUGCAUAACUGACCCCUUUAAAUCAUGCCUGGCAAAAUUCUAGGUGCACACAAGCAAAGUGAAUAUGCA
This is a long non-coding RNA of Eriocheir sinensis (Chinese mitten crab), 1502 nucleotides long. RefSeq lists it as uncharacterized. The transcript has 4 exons. The record is from RefSeq and is a predicted model, not a curated record. NCBI's taxonomy places the organism in Eukaryota, Metazoa, Arthropoda, Malacostraca, Decapoda, Varunidae.